RNAcentral lists this long non-coding RNA (532 nucleotides) under Oryctolagus cuniculus (rabbit). RNAcentral describes it as "lncRNA (ENSOCUG00000032048.1)". Lineage: Eukaryota; Metazoa; Chordata; Mammalia; Lagomorpha; Leporidae. The record is from RNAcentral.
CUCACGCCCUACCUGGCCACACCUGGGUGUGGUUAAUUAACCACUCCCCUUUGGAAGUGGGUUAAAAGACUAGGACACAGUGUGUCCCAGCCCUUCUCUCUUCUCUGGCCUCUUGCCAGAAGGGGGCUUGCUGUAGCCCUGCACCUCCAGGGCACGUGGCCUUCAGGCCACCCGCCCUAGGCUUCCUGGCCUAGAUGCUCCUCCACGUGGCUGGUUCCUGGCACUAGACAAACAGACCGCAUUCAAGCUUGAAGGCAGAUGCUUCAUUCUCCUCUCCACAAUCAAGUCCCUGAGCAACAUCCUCCACGCUGGGCAAGAAGUUGGCAAGUGUGUUCCUAGCAGCCUUACCACAGUGGUCCAAAGGUGGAAGCAGCCCGGGGCCUGUGGACAGGUGAGUAGAAAAGCAUUUACAUACAAACAUGUACAUCUGUGUAUGCAACAUUGAAAAGCCUUCAACAGGAAGGAAAUUCUGACACACACUGCAAUGUGGACGACCCGUAAGACAUUACGCUAAGCAAGGUGAGCAAGUCAC